GAGGGUAUAGCUCAGUGGUAGAGCACAUGCUUAGCAUGCACGAGGUCCUGGGUACUUUCA
Molecule: transfer RNA, 60 nt
Filed under: Camelus bactrianus (Bactrian camel)
Lineage: Eukaryota; Metazoa; Chordata; Mammalia; Artiodactyla; Camelidae
Also listed under: 3 other names
Rfam family: tRNA
About the family: Transfer RNA (tRNA) molecules are approximately 80 nucleotides in length. Their secondary structure includes four short double-helical elements and three loops (D, anti-codon, and T loops).
Source: Rfam by way of RNAcentral